CAGGAGAUAUAUAGGUUACAUUCUAACAGAGCUUGUUCUCAUACCCAAACUAGGCUCAGUAUUCCCACCAAUCCAAGCUGAAAAGAAAUCGGAUGGGAAGGAUGUGGGGGCAAAAUCCCGGGGAAUGGCAGUAUCAGGAUUGGAACACAGAUCAACAACCCAUUCGUUGCAUAAUGACAUGACUAGCUGUAUAGAAUUGCGUAGCAUCCUCAUUCCAUUAGUGGGUUCAGUCAUCAACUGGUGCUGCUGCUAUGGUCUGGAGUCGAUCGAGAUGGCCAUCUCACCUGAGAAGGCUGGCUCUCACGACAGAGAUUUUAUGGCCCCAGUGGGGAAACCAGGUGGAAUUGUUCAGUCAAAGACAAAAAGCAAGACAAUUUUGAAGAUGAAAAAUGAUAUGCAGGCCCAUGAGGACCAGGUAUAAAGGCAGGCUUGAAAAACAGCCAAAACAGAUCUACAUGAUGCCCUAAAAGAAAGCUUUCCUCUAUGGCACUGAUAUAAGCCUUAUCCAGAUUUCUGGCAAAGCUUGUCAGUUGCCUUCCUCCAGCAAAGUGGGCCUACGCAUACUAUAAAAUAAACUCAGAGAAUGUUCAGCA
Molecule: long non-coding RNA, 593 nt
Filed under: Vulpes vulpes (red fox)
Lineage: Eukaryota; Metazoa; Chordata; Mammalia; Carnivora; Canidae
Description: lncRNA (ENSVVUG00000001238.1)
Source: RNAcentral